RNAcentral lists this long non-coding RNA (1890 nucleotides) under Carica papaya (papaya). RNAcentral describes it as "long non-coding RNA (CPAP_LNC014349)". The record is from RNAcentral. Lineage: Eukaryota; Viridiplantae; Streptophyta; Magnoliopsida; Brassicales; Caricaceae.
UUGCUAUGCAUACUGCCAGUACAAGCCCCUGGUUCGGCAGAUGGCUCACCACUCACUUUUCCGUGCCUGGGGAUAGAUGCUUGUCUGCUAGUCUUGGCCUCACAAUUAUCUUUUUCAUUUGGCUGCCUCAACUGUAAAGUUGACCAAAGUAUUCUCUAAAAAACUAGCAAUACGGGAGAAGAAAGCUAAAAAGGAAGAAAACUAUCCUCACCUCUAUUUAAAAUCUAAAUUUAAGAGUGACUAUCUUCACUAAUUAAGGAUUUAAUCAUUUUCUAUAUGUGACAUUUUAAAAUUGAAGAAUGAAUUAAAGACUUUUAAGGACAAUCAUCAACUAGAUUUCCAACAGCAUAUAUAAACAUCCACGGUGCAGUUAACCAAGACCGAAGAUACUGGCAGCAAUAAUCCGAAAAUUAGAAGAAUCCUUCAGGUCAUUCACAAAGUUUCCAAAUUAAUAAGUAUGUUUGAUGAAGUUCACAUAUGCUAACAAUCUUCAACUGCGAAAAUUAUGGAAUGAAUACAUGAAGCCAAAAUAUGGAUUCAACUCCUCAUUAAUGCAAAAAAAGAACAUUCAAAAUCUCUGAAUCAUGAAAAUAAACAAGUGGGCAUCUCAGUGAAAUCGAUUUUGCAAAAAGAAAACUGAUAAUUAAGUAUGAAACUUCUAAACUGAUAAUAAGUAUGUUUGAUGAAGUUCACAUGUGCUGACAAUCUUCAACUGUGAAAAUUAUGGAAUGAAUACAUGAAGCCAAAAUAUGGAUUUGACUCCUCAUUAAUGCAAAAAAAGAACAUUCAAAAUCUCUGAAUCAUGAAAAUAAACAAGUGGGCAUCUCAGUGAAAUUGAUUUUGCAAAAAGAAAACUGAUAAUUAAGUAUGAAGCUUCUAAACUGAUAAUAAGUAUGUUUGAUGAAGUUCACAUGUGCUGACAAUCUUCAACUGUGAAAAUUAUGGAAUGAAUACAUGAAGCCAAAAUAUGGAUUCGACUCCUCAUUAAUGCAAAAAAAGAACAUUCAAAAUCUCUGAAUCAUGAAAAUAAACAAGUGGGCAUCUCAGUGAAAUUGAUUUUGCAAAAAGAAAACUGAUAAUUAAGUAUGAAGCUUCUAAACUGAUAAUAAGUAUGUUUGAUGAAGUUCACAUGUGCUGACAAUCUUCAACUGUGAAAAUUAUGGAAUGAAUAUGUGAAGCCAAAAUAUGGAUUCAACUCCUCAUUAAUGUGAAAAAAGAAAAAUUCAAAACCUCGAAUCAUGAAAAUAAACAAGUGGGCAUCUCAGUGAAAUCGACUUUGAAAAAAGAAAACUGAUAAUUAAGUACGAAACUUCUAAACUGCAGAAAUCAUGACUUAACAUACAUUCCAGGUAGAACAUAAAAAACCAACACAGAGAAACAGAGAUGAGGCCGGAUGAUGUGAUCAGUUCCAACUAUUAUAAUCACUCAUUCCACAAUCAAGAGACACAAAAUAAAUUAAAAAAUAAUCCCAACAAAUAUAGAGACCGAGCUGACACUGCACCAAAUUGCUCUUGGUCGAUCUCAAUAUAAAAAACAAAAAAAGCAGUGAAGAAUUGAAUAAAUAAGACUAACAGCGAGGCAAACGAAAGGCGAAUGCGCACUAUCCUUGGUUGUACUGAUGUGACUGGAAGGAAGAGGAGGAGGUGAUUGAUGCGGUCUGGCAAGAAGAGACGGAGAGGGUCGAUUCGGCCGCGAUGGAGAAUUUUGUGGAUGAUGAGAGUGAAGGAACUGAUAUUGGAAUCGAGAAGGGUGAUGUAUAGGAGUCGGAUCUUGGGUGGGCUUCGACAUGAGCGAGAGAGGGAAAGGAACAGUGCUGGUGUUUCAGUAGUGGAGGGAGUUAAGAGUAAUAUACCAGGAGGAAGAAGAAGAAGAAGGACGGAAAGGGGAGAG